This 1296-nucleotide long non-coding RNA is filed under the name Gossypium barbadense (sea-island cotton). RNAcentral describes it as "long non-coding RNA (GBAR_LNC006122)". The record is from RNAcentral. Lineage: Eukaryota; Viridiplantae; Streptophyta; Magnoliopsida; Malvales; Malvaceae.
UUUUUACAAACACUCAAAAAAAAAAACAAAGAGAAAUCUAAAAUUCUCUCAGAGCUCCGGUCUAGGGCCAUCACUGCUCGUCUUUGAGCUCUGCCGCGCGUGGUCUUUACGCGCCGACGCGCCAUCUUAAGGACCACCGUACACGGUGGCUAAGGUUCGAAAAACCCUUCCUUUCCCUCGCCAAUAGUCAGGUAACUUCUUUCCCUUUCUAUUUUCUUUAGUUUUUUGUUUAAAAAAAAUGGAAGAUUUGUAUAUGUAUGAAAGAAAAUACGCAGGUAAGUAAAGAAAAUAACAGUCUGUUUACCUUCUCAACUGAAACUGCUUUUUUAUUUAUAUAUGUGUUUCGAAAAGUUUACACCCGUUCGCUUUUCUGUGUUUCUUUUUGCUUUUUUUUUUGUUUCUGUAUGUAUUCUCUCUGCUAUUGUAUAUCUAUGUAAAAAACCUCCCUCUUUACAGAUUUGCGAAAGGCUUUAUAGCCUUAAACUACUACCUAUUUUGGAAAGAAAUCGAAGGAUUUCUUUCCAUUUCCUGUUCUAGUAUAUCUGCUACCUUUUUUGCUUUGAUUUCUUUCCUUUUUCUUGCAAGUAACUUGCGAGGAUCUCGAUGGUGACCGUGCUGGGCACGACACAAUGCUGAAGUCACGACCCACUGGUGGAGGCGUGAUCGGUGGCCGAGCUGGUGUGUCGAAGGGCCUCGAGAUAGUGCCUUGAUGGUGGCCUUGAUUUCGGGAAUUGGACAGACGCUCCCCGAAUAUUCUAGAAGCAAUUGUGGCGCGAUAAUGUUCAGGAAACCCUAGGGUUUCUUAUUCCUCUUAAGUCAUUUGGGCCUUUUGGGCUGCUGAUGUAUACGGGUCAAGGGUGUAAAGGGGCUUACUGAGUAAUGUUUGAGUUGGGUCGGCUAUUGUGGGUUAGGUCGGGUUUGAGGGUGUAAUUUGGGUCAUACAGGUAGUGCUUUUUGGUUUUAAGUUUUGGGCCGGUAGUGUUUGGGCUUUGUAACCUGGACUUGGACUGUUUAAUAAAUAAUUAUUUAUUUAUCUAUUUUCAUUUGGUCUUAAGGCCCGGUUAAAUUUGGGCUAUUACAUUGGCAUGAUAAUGUUUUGGUUGUAACUAGCUAUUGAAAUGGCUAAUGUUAAGCAUAUUUUGAUGUAGUUAUAUAAGGCCUUAUUAUGCUUGAUGUAUGUAUUGAAAUGGUUGAAUGGUGGAAGUUACAUAAAUAUAUUAAUAGUUGCAUGAAUGGGUAAAAUGUACUUAUAUGUUUAUAUGGUCAUUUAGGUAAGAUGAAAUAUUUGGAUAAAUG